GUGGGGAAUAUUGGACAAUGGGCGCAAGCCUGAUCCAGCCAUGCCGCGUGAGUGAUGAAGGCCUUAGGGUUGUAAAGCUCUUUCACCGAUGAAGAUAAUGACGGUAGUCGGAGAAGAAGCCCCGGCUAACUUCGUGCCAGCAGCCGCGGUAAUACGAAGGGGGCUAGCGUUGUUCGGAUUUACUGGGCGUAAAGCUCACGUAGGCGGUUUGUUAAGUCAGAGGUGAAAUCCCGGAGCUCAACUCCGGAACUGCCUUUGAUACUGGCAAGCUAGAGUCCGGAAGAGGUAAGUGGAACUCCUAGUGUAGAGGUGGAAUUCGUAGAUAUUAGGAAGAACACCAGUGGCGAAGGCGGCUUACUGGUCCGGAACUGACGCUGAGGUGCGAAAGCGUGGGGAGCAAACAGGAUUAGAUACCCGAGUAGUCC
This 425-nucleotide ribosomal RNA is filed under the name uncultured bacterium. RNAcentral's name for it is "bacterial SSU rRNA". It matches the Rfam family "Bacterial small subunit ribosomal RNA", at positions 354 to 796 of the family's 1533-position model. The record is from RNAcentral.